CAAUAGCGUAUAUUAAAGUUGUUGCAGUUAAAAAGCUCGUAGUUGGAUUUCUGGUGGGAGCGAUCGGUCUGGCGCUUAGCGCGAGUACUUGCAUCGUCUCCGGCCAUCCGUGGGGAGAGUCUGACUGGCAUUAGGUUGUCGGGCAGAGGAUCCUCAUCGUUUACUGUGAAAAAAUUAGAGUGUUCAAAGCAGGCUUAUGCCGUUGAAUAUAUUAGCAUGGAAUAAUAAGAUAGGACUUUGGUACUAUUUUGUUGGUUUGCGCACCAAAGUAAUGAUUAAUAGGGACAGUUGGGGGUAUUCGUAUUCCGUUGUCAGAGGUGAAAUUCUUGGAUUACGGAAGACGAACUACUGCGAAAGCAUUUACCAAGGAUGUUUUCAUUAA
Molecule: ribosomal RNA, 382 nt
Filed under: uncultured eukaryote
Lineage: Eukaryota
Description: partial 18S ribosomal RNA
Rfam family: Eukaryotic small subunit ribosomal RNA
Source: RNAcentral